CUGGAAUUGAAUGUACUGAGUUCUUUGCAAGGAAGCACUUUUUAUAAAGAAGCCUUCAAAGAUUUAAUAAGCUAUAAAAGUAAAAGCCAGAAGAUAGCCAGCCUGAACAGACGAGUAGAAUGAGGUGCUGAGUGCAGGUGAAGCACAGAAAGGUGUCUCAUUUCUGCAUGUACAUCCUGUAGUGCUGAGCUCCUCUCCAGGGACCUGCUGGUUCUGCCAUGGUGUGGAGAUGUUUGGCUCUGGUGGAUGCUCUCUCCAGG
RNAcentral lists this long non-coding RNA (260 nucleotides) under Zonotrichia albicollis (white-throated sparrow). Its description in RNAcentral is "lncRNA (ENSZALG00000015186.1)". The record is from RNAcentral. Lineage: Eukaryota; Metazoa; Chordata; Aves; Passeriformes; Passerellidae.